CCCUUAGAUGUUCUGGGCCGCACGCGCGCUACACUGACGAAUGCAACGAGCUUAUAACCUUGGCCGAAAGGUCUGGGUAAUCUCCAAAUUUCGUCGUGAUGGGGAUAGAUUAUUGCAAUUAUUAAUCUUCAACGAGGAAUGCCUAGUAAGCGCAAGUCAUCAGCUUGCGUUGAUUACGUCCCUGCCCUUUGUACACACCGCCCGUCGCUCCUACCGAUUGAAUGGUUCGGUGAAGCGUUCGGACCGUGGCCUUUGGACGGUUCGCCGUCUGUUGGCUGCGGGAAGUUCGUUAAACCUUAUCAUUUAGAGGAAGGAGAAGUCGUAACA
RNAcentral lists this ribosomal RNA (327 nucleotides) under uncultured eukaryote. RNAcentral's name for it is "partial 18S ribosomal RNA". It matches the Rfam family "Eukaryotic small subunit ribosomal RNA", at positions 1470 to 1796 of the family's 1831-position model. The record is from RNAcentral.